AUAUUGGAUAAUGGUGGCAACCCUGAUCCAGCCAUGCCGCGUGUUUGACGAAGGUCUCCGGAUCGUAAAUCACUUUAUGUUCGGAGGCAGGGCAUUAGGUCACUACCCUGAAUUUUCGACGUUCCCAACAGAAUAGGCCCCCGCUAUCUCUGUCCCAGCCCCCGCGGUAAUACAGAGGGUGCAAGCGUUAAUCGGAAUUACUGGGCGUAAAGCGCGGGUAGGUGGUUCAGUAAGAUGGGUGUGAAAUCCCCGGGCUUAACCGGGGAACUGCUUUCAUAACUGCUGAGCUAGAGUACGGUAGAGGGUAGUGGAAUUUCCUGUGUAGCGGUAAAAUGCGUAGAUAUAGGAAGGAACACCAGUGGCGAAGGCGACUACCUGGACUGAUACUGACACUGAGGUGCGAAAGCGUGGGGAGCAAAC
This 420-nucleotide ribosomal RNA is filed under the name uncultured bacterium. RNAcentral describes it as "partial 16S ribosomal RNA". It matches the Rfam family "Bacterial small subunit ribosomal RNA", at positions 361 to 773 of the family's 1533-position model. The record is from RNAcentral.